RNAcentral lists this ribosomal RNA (477 nucleotides) under uncultured bacterium. RNAcentral describes it as "bacterial SSU rRNA". It matches the Rfam family "Bacterial small subunit ribosomal RNA", at positions 26 to 518 of the family's 1533-position model. The record is from RNAcentral.
AGGACGAACGCUGGCGGCGUGCCUAACACAUGCAAGUCGAGCGGAGUCAGGAAGCUUGCUUUUGACUAGUGGCGGACGGGUGAGUAACGCGUGAGUAACCUGCCUCUGAGAGGGGAACAACGUUCUGAAAAGAACGCUAAUACCGCAUAACGUAUCGAAGCCGCAUGACUUUGAUACCAAAGAUUUUAUCGCUCGGAGAUGGACUCGCGUCCGAUUAGUUAGUUGGUGAGGUAACGGCUCACCAAGACCGCGAUCGGUAGCCGGACUGAGAGGUUGAUCGGCCACAUUGGGACUGAGGCACGGCCCAGACUCCUACGGGAGGCAGCAGUGGGGGAUAUUGCGCAAUGGGGGCAACCCUGAACCGCAGCAACGCCGCGUGAAGGAUGAAGGUUUUCGGAUUGUAAACUUCUUUUAUCAGGGACGAAAUCUGACGGUACCUGAUGAAUAAGCUCCGGCUAACUACGUGCCAGCCGCCGC